CUCUCGCUUUCUCCGCGGGGAGAGGGAAUGGGCGGGGCCGCGGAGCCGGCGCGUACGAGUUCUAGGGUGAGAAGUACUAAUGGUGGAUCUAAACUGCACAGUAACUAUCAAAGAUAUAUGAAAUGUUAAUGUUGGCAACUACAGUACCUGAUCUGUGAAGGAAGAGCCUGAAACAAGAGAUUUCCAACUCAAGAUCAGUGUGCUUGUGCUGAU
This is a long non-coding RNA of Cuculus canorus (common cuckoo), 213 nucleotides long. RefSeq lists it as uncharacterized. The record is from RefSeq and is a predicted model, not a curated record. NCBI's taxonomy places the organism in Eukaryota, Metazoa, Chordata, Aves, Cuculiformes, Cuculidae. The transcript has 3 exons.